CCUCUGCAAGUAUGUCUUCGGGGUCACACCAUCUGUAGCUAUGGAUUUCACCAGCUGCAAGAGUGGGUCAUCACUGUCAUUCAUGACAAUAUUUUGAAAUGCAGAGCUGUCACAGAAAGUACAGCAUAAGCACUGACAAAAGGCAUCAAAGGAGCAGGUGUUUAACACAGAGAGUGACAAUGUCCCAACUUUAACAGGCUGAUGCAUGUUUCCAUUUUUCAAUAGUCCCACUUUCACUCUUUUGGCCCCAGAUGAUGAAUCUGCAUGGAGCCAUUCAGUGCAGGAACUCAGGUAUGAAGACCUAUUCCUCUUUUUGGGUGGAAGAAUUUGUCCUCUCCAGUUUUCAACCGCGUUUUCAUCUGCAGUGGAAAGGUUUCUGGUGGCUUCCGAUUCCAUCACAUCGCUCAAAUUCAUGUUUCUGCUACCUUCUGCAUUGUGGGUAAUUAUGGAUGCAGGGUCAGCUUCUGUAACUUCUGCUGAUGCAACUUGUCCCUCCUCCUGUUGUGCUUUUGCAGAGCAAAUCCGCAUAUUUCCUUCGAUGAAGGAAAGAUGCCUAGAAAUGAAGCGGUCGACUCGAAUGGGUAAGUUAUCAUGUUUGAAGAGGCCAUGUUUUACAUUUUUGAAUUCUGCUUCAACAUUGGCUGAGCUUGCUGUGAGGCUGGUACUUUUGAAGAGGGGAACCAUUAUUCCUGUCCACAGUGAUGCAGCGUGUGUCCUGCUCUCCUCACAAAUGUUUGACACCCAGUCUCGUAGGUCAGUCUGGAAGUCAUCACAUGGAUCGACUUGAUGCACUUCCUGUGCAUCUUCUUCUGGAAUGAUGAUGGAGUCUUCUGCAAUCUGUGCUUUCAGGCAGUCCCACUGGCAUACCAUCUUUAUGCAGUGGGCAACAUCAAC
This is a long non-coding RNA of Poeciliopsis prolifica (blackstripe livebearer), 894 nucleotides long. RefSeq lists it as uncharacterized. The transcript is spliced from 3 exons. Lineage: Eukaryota; Metazoa; Chordata; Actinopteri; Cyprinodontiformes; Poeciliidae. The record is from RefSeq and is a predicted model, not a curated record.